Molecule: ribosomal RNA, 238 nt
Filed under: uncultured bacterium
Lineage: Bacteria
Description: partial 16S ribosomal RNA
Rfam family: Bacterial small subunit ribosomal RNA
Source: RNAcentral
UACGGAGGGUGCAAGCGUUGUCCGGAUUAUUGGGUUUAAAGGGUGCGUAGGCGGCUUUUUAAGUCAGUGGUGAAAGACAACAGCUCAACUGUUGCAGUGCCAUUGAUACUGAAGAGCUUGAGUACAGAUGAGGUAGGCGGAAUUUAUGGUGUAGCGGUGAAAUGCAUAGAUACCAUAAAGAACACCUAUUGCGAAGGCAGCUUACUAGCUGUAACUGACGCUGAGGCACGAAAGUGUG